UCUCUACUUGCGUAGGCAGUCUCACUAGAGUCCCCAACUGAAUGAUGGCAACUAGUGACAGGGGUUGCGCUCGUUGCAGGACUUAACCUAACACCUCACGGCACGAGCCGACGACAGCCAUGCAGCACCUUCUCACCGGUUCCCUUGCGGGCACCUCUACAUCUCUGCGGAGUUCCGGUGGAUUUAACCCAGGUAAGGUUCUGCGCGUUGCGUCGAAUUGAACCACAUGCUCCACCGCUUGUGCGGGCCCCCGUCAAUUCCUUUGAGUUUUAGCCUCGCGGCCGUACUCCCCAGGCGGGGUGCUUAAUGCGUUAGCUUCGGCACGGACGGGGUUGAUAUCCGCCCACACCUAGCACCCAACGUUUACGGCUAGGACUAC
Molecule: unclassified non-coding RNA, 379 nt
Filed under: uncultured bacterium
Lineage: Bacteria
Description: contains 16S-23S intergenic spacer region
Source: RNAcentral